Molecule: ribosomal RNA, 54 nt
Filed under: Chryseobacterium oleae
Lineage: Bacteria; Pseudomonadati; Bacteroidota; Flavobacteriia; Flavobacteriales; Weeksellaceae
Source: RNAcentral
AGCCCACCAGCGCCGAUGGUACUGCGAAAGCGGGAGAGUAGGCCGCCGCCAGUU